RNAcentral lists this ribosomal RNA (1544 nucleotides) under uncultured bacterium. RNAcentral's name for it is "bacterial SSU rRNA". It matches the Rfam family "Bacterial small subunit ribosomal RNA". The record is from RNAcentral.
UGAGUUUGAUCCUGGCUCAGAUUGAACGCUGGCGGCAGGCUUAACACAUGCAAGUCGAGCGGAGAGAGGUAGCUUGCUACUGAUCUUAGCGGCGGACGGGUGAGUAAUGCUUAGGAAUCUGCCUAUUAGUGGGGGACAACAUUUCGAAAGGAAUGCUAAUACCGCAUACGUCCUACGGGAGAAAGCAGGGGAUCUUCGGACCUUGCGCUAAUAGAUGAGCCUAAGUCGGAUUAGCUAGUUGGUGGGGUAAAGGCCUACCAAGGCGACGAUCUGUAGCGGGUCUGAGAGGAUGAUCCGCCACACUGGGACUGAGACACGGCCCAGACUCCUACGGGAGGCAGCAGUGGGGAAUAUUGGACAAUGGGCGCAAGCCUGAUCCAGCCAUGCCGCGUGUGUGAAGAAGGCCUUAUGGUUGUAAAGCACUUUAAGCGAGGAGGAGGCUACUUUAGUUAAUACCUAGAGAUAGUGGACGUUACUCGCAGAAUAAGCACCGGCUAACUCUGUGCCAGCAGCCGCGGUAAUACAGAGGGUGCAAGCGUUAAUCGGAUUUACUGGGCGUAAAGCGCGCGUAGGCGGCUAAUUAAGUCAAAUGUGAAAUCCCCGAGCUUAACUUGGGAAUUGCAUUCGAUACUGGUAGCUAGAGUGUGGGGGGAAAGUAGUGGUUAAAAUUCCAGGUGGUAGCGGUGAAAUGGCGUAGAGAUUCUGGGAGGAAAUACCGAAUGGCCGAAAGGCAGCCAUCUGGCCUAACACUGACGCUGAGUGCGAAAGCAUGGGGAGCAAACAGGAUUAGAUACCCUGAUAGUCCAUGCCGUAAACGAUGUCUACUAGCCGUUGGGGCCUUUGAGGCUUUAGUGGCGCAGCUAACGCGAUAAGUAGACCGCCUGGGGAGUACGGUCGCAAGACUAAAACUCAAAUGAAUUGACGGGGGCCCGCACAAGCGGUGGAGCAUGUGGUUUAAUUCGAUGCAACGCGAAGAACCUUACCUGGCCUUGACAUAGUAAGAACUUUCCAGAGAUGGAUUGGUGCCUUCGGGAACUUACAUACAGGUGCUGCAUGGCUGUCGUCAGCUCGUGUCGUGAGAUGUUGGGUUAAGUCCCGCAACGAGCGCAACCCUUUUCCUUAUUUGCCAGCGAGUAAUGUCGGGAACUUUAAGGAUACUGCCAGUGACAAACUGGAGGAAGGCGGGGACGACGUCAAGUCAUCAUGGCCCUUACGGCCAGGGCUACACACGUGCUACAAUGGUCGGUACAAAGGGUUGCUACCUAGCGAUAGGAUGCUAAUCUCAAAAAGCCGAUCGUAGUCCGGAUUGGAGUCUGCAACUCGACUCCAUGAAGUCGGAAUCGCUAGUAAUCGCGGAUCAGAAUGCCGCGGUGAAUACGUUCCCGGGCCUUGUACACACCGCCCGUCACACCAUGGGAGUUUGUUGCACCAGAAGUAGCUAGCCUAACUGCAAAGAGGGCGGUUACCACGGUGUGGCCGAUGACUGGGGUGAAGUCGUAACAAGGUAGCCGUAGGGGAACCUGCGGCUGGAUCACCUCCUUUCU